CUGAGUGCUGAGAUUACAGAUAUGUGCCACCACACCCGGCUGUCUUCAGGUUUAGAUACCCCGAAAUAACUAUUCUAUUUUCAGUGGUUGAAACUGUUGAUGAGUCUAGGCCAAGACCUGCCUGUUGGCUGACCUCUGCAGCAGCUGAAGUUGGAGAUGAUGACAAGGCUAUGUGAACGCUAAAUGGGAGAGAGACAGACAUUCCUGUUGUGUGUCCCACAGGACCUUCCGCCUCUAGCUGACAGCAUUAUCUAUAUUUUGGAAAGUCUCCAAUCAAGAGUCAAAGAUGAGGAGCUGAGGAUUUAGCUCAGAGGCACAGUGCCUGCCUGGCAAGCAAGAUCGCUGCACAGAUUGGGUUGUAACCCUCUGCUUCUGAGCCUGCCAUCCGUGAUCAGGAUUUAUAGUUGCUGACAACUUGCUUUAAUAAUUCACAAAGAACAGAUCCAUUUUGUGCUCUCCCUUUUCUCAGUCGAACAUUGAUGCCUACAGAUGGGGAACAUGCUUUUUUGUCAGUGAAAUAAAUCUAGAGGACUCAGAGACACCACAGAAGUAAUUCUGAAGGACUUGCCACUACUAAACAUUUCCCACCAAUGCACAACUAGAUAAAACCAGAAGCAGGGCAGGCUCUGCAGUGAACUCUGAGUUCUAGCACUUCUGCUCUCCUGCAGUUUUUCAGAAGGUUGGGUCGAUUUAUACUGGUAGCCAAAGGUCAUGGCUUUCAUGUUUUAAGGUUGUAGUGGACCUAAAGGAGCACCCAGUUCACUUUUGCAACACUUCCCAAGGCUGAAGCAAGAGUUUAUCCCAAAAUGAACUGCCUGACAACAGCACUGACCUAACCUUUGCCUCACAAAUGUAAAUUCUUUGGGUGGUUAAACUACUGUGACUUUGGACACAAGGGAUGUGGUCGAGGCCUCGGUAAUGAGUUGCUAGAAGCAUCCAACUUUCCCAGGAGACACAAAGAUACAUACUUAAAUGGUCAAAUUUAGUGUAUUUUCCCCUUCACAUUCUUAAAUACUAAUUCCUCCAGUAGAGGACAAAUUACUUCCCAAAACUGUUUCUUUUUCUCCCCUGCCUCUCUUUUUUUCUUCCCUCCUUUCUUUCCUUCCUUCCUUGCUUCCCUCCUUAUCUGCUAUUAUCUAGUUGGCAUCCAAAUAUUAAAUGGUGUUGAGGUAUA
Long non-coding RNA from Chinchilla lanigera (long-tailed chinchilla), 1174 nucleotides. RefSeq lists it as uncharacterized. The transcript is spliced from 4 exons. Lineage: Eukaryota; Metazoa; Chordata; Mammalia; Rodentia; Chinchillidae. The record is from RefSeq and is a predicted model, not a curated record.